GAUGAACGCUGGCGGCGUGCCUAAUACAUGCAAGUCGAGCGAACCACUUCGGUGGUGAGCGGCGAACGGGUGAGUAACACGUAGGUGAUCUGCCCAUCAGACGGGGACAACGAUUGGAAACGAUCGCUAAUACCGGAUAGGACGAAAGUUUAAAGGUGCUUCUGGCACCGCUGAUGGAUGAGCCUGCGGCGCAUUAGCUAGUUGGUAGGGUAAAGGCCUACCAAGGCGACGAUGCGUAGCCGACCUGAGAGGGUGAACGGCCACACUGGGACUGAGAGACGGCCCAGACUCCGACGGGAGGAAGCAGUAGGGAAUCUUCGGCAAUGGGCGAAAGCCUGACCGAGCAACGCCGCGUGAAUGAUGAAGGCCUUCGGGUUGUAAAAUUCUGUUAUAAGGGAAGAACGACUUUAGUAGGAAAUGGCUAGAGUGUGACGGUACCUUAUGAGAAAGCCACGGCUAACUACGUGCCAGCCGCCGCCGUAA
RNAcentral lists this ribosomal RNA (483 nucleotides) under uncultured bacterium. Its description in RNAcentral is "partial 16S ribosomal RNA". It matches the Rfam family "Bacterial small subunit ribosomal RNA", at positions 28 to 523 of the family's 1533-position model. The record is from RNAcentral.